AAAGAGGUGGAAGGCCCCAGCGAGAUUUGAACUCGCGACCCCUGGUUUACAAGACCAGUGCUCUAACCCCUGAGCUAUGGAGCCUUUUCCUUCCCAAUACUUCUCUACCUCUGAUCUUAUACAAGCAUAUAGUAAAGCCAGCAUCUGGGAAGCAUUAAAUAGAACUUGUUUGACCCGAGCAAAAAUCCAAGAUAUUCUCCCACAAAAUUAGAUUUUCUUCAUGUUCUGUCAACGCUUCUAAAAGACUCCGUUUUGAGUACAGCCACUACCAGGCUGUCUUGUCGUCUCUCAUCUUGAUGCUCUCCUGGGACAUUGCCUCCUGUGCCUCUGGUGCCCAGAAAGGAUGCAGAUACAGGAAUUCCAGACGUUUGGGCACACGGGAGACCCACCUGAGAAAUAAGAGGCGCAUAGAGAGGGUGUCUGAUGGACAGAUUACACACUCCGUUCACUUGCUAUUGUGGUAAAAUCUGGGGAAGGUGAAAAGAGAUUUACCACGGUUUUGUCCUUUCUGAAUCCAGAGCCCCAAACCUGAACUUUGUAUUUUGGAAUUAAUGCCUCCCUCACAAAGGUUGAGGGGUAGGAUCAAGUAGGGAAAAAGGGUAAUGGGGAGAAAGAGUUUAAUCCUUCUUUAAAGACAUAUACAGAUUUAUAUACAUCUUUGAUAUGAAAAUAAUAUAGUUUUUAAAAAAGGAUUUUCACGUUUUGAAAACCUUGUUUAUAUAACUAGUAAACAGGAACUAAAAAUUGAUUAAGAAAGAUCUUGUACUUUUUUCUUACUGCAAAUACAAUCAUAGAUGAGAACACUGGGGAAAAAAGCGCUCCUUCAUGCAACCCCAAGGAGUGAACCAAUUCUGUUUAGUAAGAUUUAGACUCUCUGCCCACCUGCUCUUGUACCCACUAUUUUUUAACGUUUUCAUUUGUCCACGAUCUUAAAGUUUAUCAGAAAUCUGUAAGCCUGUGAUUCAUUGUGUUCGAGUAGGCGGUUAGUUAGGUUCUAACAGAAUGCCUGGGAGGUCGGCAAAGAUGAAAUCAUGGCCAGCUGUCAGUCAGAGGCCUGUCCCUGCAGGGGGGCCACCAAACCUCUGGGGCCCAAGAUGGUGGAGGCCAAGACAGGA
Callorhinus ursinus (northern fur seal) is the source of this 1115-nucleotide non-coding RNA. The record is from RefSeq and is a predicted model, not a curated record. NCBI's taxonomy places the organism in Eukaryota, Metazoa, Chordata, Mammalia, Carnivora, Otariidae.